GCUGGCGUGGAUUCCCCCACCUGAGGGAUGAAGNUGCAUGCCGAGGUGCGGUAGGCCUCGUUAACAAACCGCAAAAAAAUAGUCGCAAACGACGAAAACUACGCACUAGCAGCUUAAUAACCUGCUCAGAGCUCUCUCGCCCUAGCUUCCGCACGUAAGACGGGGACCAACGAGGGAUCAAACCCAAACGCGCUAGCCCGGAUUCUCCCGCCUGAGAGAUGAACGGUGAAUUUUAAUUCAGGAUAGUCAUUUACUAGCGUGUCGGUUCGCAGGUGGGUGGUGAAUUUAAAGAUCGACUAAGCAUNCAAACGACGAAAACUACGCACUAGCAGCUUAAUACCCUGCUCAGAGCCCUUCCUCCCUAGCUUCCGCUUGUAAGACGGGGAAAUCAGGAAGGUCAAACCAAAUCAAGCUGGCGUGGAUUCCCCCACCUGAGGGAUGAAGCGCGAGAUCUAAUUCAGGUUAGCCAUUCGUUAGCGUGUCGGUUCGCAGGCGGUGGUGAAAUUAAAGAUCGACUAAGCAUGUAGUACCAAAGAUGAAUGGUUUUCGGACGGGGGUUCAACUCCCCCCAGCUCCACCA
Molecule: transfer-messenger RNA, 580 nt
Filed under: Vibrio cholerae
Lineage: Bacteria; Pseudomonadati; Pseudomonadota; Gammaproteobacteria; Vibrionales; Vibrionaceae
Rfam family: transfer-messenger RNA
About the family: Bacterial tmRNA, also known as 10Sa RNA or SsrA, is named for its dual tRNA and mRNA-like properties. Its role is to liberate the mRNA from a stalled ribosome. To accomplish this part of the tmRNA is used as a reading frame that ends in a translation stop signal.
Source: RNAcentral